GUGCUUGCUUCAGCAGCACAUAUACUAAAAUUGGAACAAUUCAAAGAAGAUUAACAUGGUCCCUGAGCAAGGAUGACACACAAAUUCGUGAAGCGUUGCAUAUUUAA
Molecule: small nuclear RNA, 107 nt
Filed under: Sorex araneus (European shrew)
Lineage: Eukaryota; Metazoa; Chordata; Mammalia; Eulipotyphla; Soricidae
Source: RNAcentral